CAUGCAGAAUUUUUUUAAUAUGGGCUAAGCCAGUAUGAAGACAGUUAUUGUUGUUUUUAUUGUUGUGUGAGGUGCUUUUGCACUUAAAUAUGGAAUCCCGAAACUUUGCAUUAUGGACAGAUACCAUAUUUUCCUUUCAUGAUGAAAAUAUCAGUGUUUCAGGCAAGUCUGUGCCAUUUACUUGUUGCUUCUGGAGCAGAAUGUUUGGGGAAGAAAAGGAAAAGAAAUGUGCCCAAACUCGCUGAUGCACACUGUAAAUAUCAAAGCUGUAUGAAUCAGAAUGUAUGAAUGAUAAUUAUGUCCUUUUGUCCGUGUGUGUGCUGUGCAUGUGCCAACAUAUAAAGGAAUUUAACUGAACUAUUUGUUGUAUUUUUAUUAGUCUCUCAUUCAUUAUGCCGGAGAAAGCAUUUCUAACUCAAGAAAGAAACUAAAUGAAGAUGCCCAGAUCAACUCACUGAGGACUUUGAUAAUGCAGUGUACAAAAUGCUUAUGCAAUUGUACCAAGAACAGUGCUAAUAAGAUGCUGUCUAAUAUAUUCCUGCGUUUGUUAACAUCAAAAUUUAUGAAUGAUCUUGUAGAUAUUUGCAAAAAUCUGGUAAGUACAUUCCCUGUGUUUCUGAAUGCAGAAAUGAUAUAUUUCUUAUGGUAUAAUAGUUUGGAGGCAAACAAAAUAAGACACUUAAUUCUAUUUAACAUUUGUAUAUUUUGAACACAGGCAUAGGGGAAAAAUGAGGACAAGUAGAUAAUAUUUGAUCAAUAUUAGCAUGCCUGUUCAUAUUUAAAAAAUGCUAUUUUGGGAAUUUUUUAAUACUUUAUUAAUGUUAAAUGAUAUAUAGAUUUUACGCCAUAGAAAGAAUUUCUGUAACAUGACAUUUAACUUUAAUGCAUGUGGAAAUGUUAAGAAUUUUUUUUUUUUUUUUAGUUUGUUGGGUUUAUGUGUCUUAAAAAACACUGUAGAGAUGUUUUUAUGUAGAUGUUAAAUGUUUGAGCUGUAACUGGCUCUCUUCUCAAUGACAAAAGUAAUAGGAUGGCACAUCACUGUGUUUACUACAACUUUUGAAACUUCUCAUUUUGGCAGAUUGUGCUGUAGUCAGGUCUAGGUAGGCAAAAUCCUUUUUUUUUUUUUCAGGUUAGGAAAACCUGAGGAAUUUACCUUCUGUUAGCUUCUCAUCUAGUAGGGAAAAUAGUAAUUCCUGUGCCCUCAAAAAGGCCCUACGCUGCCUUUUCAUUUCUGUGUAAUUAUGAAGUAUGGUGGGAAGUUUGGUGUCUUCCAGAGAAUUGUUUUUCAACUACUAACAAUGUCCUUGGCACCAUCUAAAACACAAAAACGUGUGUCUGUCUCAGGAAGCUUACGUCUUGAAGAGAAUAGUUCAAAUACAAUUUACAUGUUUAUAAGACAGUUUUAUCACAAAGAGUGAAAUGCAUCGCUUCAGUGUAGCCCUUAUUUUCUUCACCUGUUUGAGCUGACUGGAAAACUGUAGUGUCUUUCCUCGUUC
RNAcentral lists this long non-coding RNA (1496 nucleotides) under Anas platyrhynchos platyrhynchos (common mallard). Its description in RNAcentral is "lncRNA (ENSAPLG00000027751.1)". Lineage: Eukaryota; Metazoa; Chordata; Aves; Anseriformes; Anatidae. The record is from RNAcentral.